Molecule: unclassified non-coding RNA, 853 nt
Filed under: Hevea brasiliensis (rubber tree)
Lineage: Eukaryota; Viridiplantae; Streptophyta; Magnoliopsida; Malpighiales; Euphorbiaceae
Source: RNAcentral
UAAUAAGGCAGUUAAGGGUUACCAUGAGGCGAUGGAACAAGGUCUCUUGUUGAAACUUCCUUUCACAACUCUCUUCGAGUAUAGUCAGGUACUGCAAAUGAUUGCCUCGUCUAUGAGGCCUCUUGGCAGCAAUGGGAUGUUCUAUCUUGCUGCUGCAGUGUCUGACUUUUAUGUGCCGUGGGAGAGCAUGGUAGAACAUAAGAUUCAGUCCAGAGCUGGUCCUCUGGAUAUGAGGCUUAUUGAAGCGCCAAAAAUGCUUGGGAUGGUGAGAAAAGAGUGGGAUCCCUUGGCAUUCUGCAUAUCAUUCAAGUUGGAGACAGAUCCGGAAAUUCUCCUAAAAAAAGCAAACAUGGCUCUGAAGAAGUCCCAGAUGGGUGCUGUUGUCGCAAAUCUAUUAGCAACAUACAAGCAAGAAGUUAUUGUCGUCACAGAGAGCGGGAACACCACUGUCCGCAAGCAGAGCGUGGACGAAGAUGUGGAGGAACGCCUGGUCGGGCUCGUUGUAGAGAGGCACUCAGGUUUCAUCGCAGAUGGGACUGCAUGAGCCCGGUGAAUGGUCUCUCUGAUAAUAAGAUAUAUCGAGCUAAUAAUCUUAUAUGUUUGUAAUGAUCAUCUUGUUGACUGUGAGAGGCACUCUGGUUUCAUCACAGAUGGGACCGCAUGAGACCGGUGAAUGGUCUCUCUGAUAUAAGAUUAUUCGCUCGAUGUAUCUCGGUUACUGAGGACAUAACCGUUGUGAUUAAUUAAGAUGUAUCGAAUAAAAUUUCUUUUAAGUUAUCUAUAUCUUGUAUACAAUUUAUGCUUGUAAUGACCAUCUUAUUGACUGUAAGUGUCCAAUAAAAAUGAGUUUGAG